AGAGCGAACGCUGGCGGCAUGCUUAACACAUGCAAGUCGCACGGGCAGGGGAAACCCUGUCAGUGGCGGACGGGUGAGUAACGCGUAGGUAUCUAUCCUUGGGUGGGGGAUAACGGUUGGAAACGACUGCUAAUACCGCAUGAUAACUGAGGUUUAAAGGCGCAAGUCGCCUGGGGAGGAGCCUGCGUACGAUUAGCUUGUUGGUGGGGUAAAGGCCUACCAAGGCGACGAUCGUUAGCUGGUCUGAGAGGAUGAUCAGCCACAUUUGGACUGAGACACGGCCCAAACUCCUACGGGAGGCAGCAGUGGGAAUAUUGGACAAUGGGCGAAAGCCUGAUCCAGCAAUGCCGCGUGUGUGAAGAAGGUCUUCGGAUUGUAAAGCACUUUCGACAGGGACGAUGAUGACGGUACCUGUAGAAGAAGCCCCGGCUAACUUCGCGCCAGCAGCCGC
RNAcentral lists this ribosomal RNA (451 nucleotides) under uncultured bacterium. Its description in RNAcentral is "SSU rRNA". It matches the Rfam family "Bacterial small subunit ribosomal RNA", at positions 26 to 518 of the family's 1533-position model. The record is from RNAcentral.